This 484-nucleotide ribosomal RNA is filed under the name uncultured bacterium. RNAcentral's name for it is "partial 16S ribosomal RNA". It matches the Rfam family "Bacterial small subunit ribosomal RNA", at positions 28 to 507 of the family's 1533-position model. The record is from RNAcentral.
AUUGAACGCUGGCGGCAUGCUUUACACAUGCAAGUCGAACGGCAGCGCGGGCUUCGGCCUGGCGGCGAGUGGCGAACGGGUGAGUAAUGCAUCGGAACGUGCCCAGUAGUGGGGGAUAGCCCGGCGAAAGCCGGAUUAAUACCGCAUACGACCUGAGGGUGAAAGCGGGGGACCGAAAGGCCCCGCGCUAUUGGAGCGGCCGAUGUCGGAUUAGCUAGUUGGUGGGGUAAAGGCUUACCAAGGCGACGAUCCGUAGCUGGUCUGAGAGGACGACCAGCCACACUGGGACUGAGACACGGCCCAGACUCCUACGGGAGGCAGCAGUGGGGAAUUUUGGACAAUGGGGGCAACCCUGAUCCAGCCAUGCCGCGUGCGGGAAGAAGGCCUUCGGGUUGUAAACCGCUUUUGUUCGGGAAGAAAUCCUCUGGGCUAAUACCCCGGGGGGAUGACGGUACCGGAAGAAUAAGCACCGGCUAACUACGUG